CACAGACACACACACAGACGUUGCUGUCAGGUGUUGAUAUUCGUGCAUACACACUGCACCUCUGCGCUGCGUGUUUUGAAAACACACAAACGGCGGGUGUGUUUUGUAUAAUUCUACGUUGCCAGUAAUGUCCAUCAGUAAGCCGUCAAGACAGACUGACUGCGUCUUGUGUGUCAGUAAGGGCUCAUCCGCACGCACUGCGGCGUGUCAGAACUGUCGGCGCAACAGUAAGCCACAAAACAACAGUGAUUCAAUUCGGAUUAAGGUCUGAGCAUACACAAGGUCCAACACACAUUUUACCAACCUCCUCCUCUUUCUUCAACUCUUCGCACACCCGGAAUCCCCCUCAGAUCAUUUGAAAAACGUCGCUUUCCGAAUCGAUUUCUGAUUGGCUUUAUACGCUUUCCACGGCGAGCUCCGCUAUUUUUGUCUCGAUGUGCCGUCACACUUUUGCGUUUGUCACUCGUCAGGAUCUCCAUCCAGCCAUCCAUUUUCUGAUCCGCUUUUAUCCUCACAAGGGACCAAAAAAAGUUAGUUGUUUUAUUUAUCUGACUUUUAUCCUUUCAAAUAUUGGAAUCGGGCUCGUCAUUACUGUUCAUACCGUAUUAUUUGUUUGGAAUGUGUACCUUUAAGGGGUGUGGCCAUCCGGCGGUCCAUUUUGAAACUCACAAAACGAAAAAUCAACCAAACGGCAUCUCGCAACUCGACAAACUCUGAAGUCGGUUCACUCAUAUGUCAAGAUCGCUCUGUUUAUGCGUUACGGACGAGCAGCUGCAAUAAAUCGAGCAGCCUCUGUCCCGCUGCCCCACGCGGUGUUUGUCUUCCCAUCCACACAGCCGAGGAAAAAACCCGUUUGCGAAGAGAUUCCUUCACACUAGAAGCCGCUUGGCGUGAAUGGAACAUUAUUCUCGCUCGCCGUUUGCUUUGGAUCGGCCCAGAUGUUGGGGCUUGGACGGCUCGGACGGAGGCGUGUAAAGCGGCUGCAGGCAGACGUACUUUCAGGCAUCAUCUGUUUCCUUUGUGGGGUUCAGGUAGCAGGCAGCAUGAGCUCAGACUUGCCACGCCGCGUCUUGUUUCUGGGACUCUUCUCAGAUGCGUUCGCAAGCAUCGGAAACGACGAAUUAGGCUCUGUUUGGCAUGGUCAGCAUCAUCUGAAACGUGUAAAGCCUCAAACCUCUCCUGUUGUGUUUGCGUUGGCUUCAGCGUUCCCUGUUCUGUCCUUGAUGCAUGUGGCGUUUGUACAAAUCUCUCCGCCUGCGCUGCAUCGAUCAUAAUCGAGUUCUUGAUUGAGGUGAAAUGUAAUCAAAAAGUUGCGUGCAACCAGACAGUUCAAAUAUGUACAUGAUAGCUGGUCUAGGGGCCGACUGCCUUUUUCGACCAACUGACGCCCACCAAGAUUGUUUUAUUCAACCAAGACUAACGAAAUAAACAAAAAUUGUAAAAAAA
Hippocampus comes (tiger tail seahorse) is the source of this 1446-nucleotide long non-coding RNA. RefSeq lists it as uncharacterized. Lineage: Eukaryota; Metazoa; Chordata; Actinopteri; Syngnathiformes; Syngnathidae. The record is from RefSeq and is a predicted model, not a curated record. The transcript has 2 exons.